RNAcentral lists this ribosomal RNA (466 nucleotides) under uncultured bacterium. Its description in RNAcentral is "partial 16S ribosomal RNA". It matches the Rfam family "Bacterial small subunit ribosomal RNA", at positions 339 to 795 of the family's 1533-position model. The record is from RNAcentral.
CUACGGGUUGCUCCAGUCUAGAAGCUUCCGCAAUGGGCGAAAGCCUGACGGAGCGACGCCGCGUGCAGGACGAAGGUUUUCGGAUUGUAAACUGCUUUCGACAGGGAAGAACGGCUCGAUGGCUAACACCCAUCGUGUUUGACGGUACCUGGAGAAGAAGCCCUGGCUAACUCCGUGCCAGCAGCCGCGGUAAUACGGAGAGGGCAAGCGUUGUUCGGAUUUAUUGGGCGUACAGCGCGCGCAGGCGGCCAAGUAAGUCGGGUGUUAAAUACCUACCGCUCACCGGAGGGAAUGCGCCCGAUACUGCAUUGCUUGAGUACGAGAGAGGAAUCUGGAAUUCCGGGUGUAGCGGUGAAAUGCGUAGAUAUCCGGAGGAACAUCUGUGGCGAAGGCGAGAUUCUGGCUCGUGUCUGACGCUGAGGCGCGAAAGCGUGGGGAGCGAACGGGAUUAGAUACCCGGGUAGUC